This 503-nucleotide ribosomal RNA is filed under the name uncultured bacterium. RNAcentral describes it as "bacterial SSU rRNA". It matches the Rfam family "Bacterial small subunit ribosomal RNA", at positions 28 to 529 of the family's 1533-position model. The record is from RNAcentral.
GACGAACGCUGGCGGCGUGCUUAACACAUGCAAGUCGAACGAGAAAGCACCUUCGGGUGUGAGUACAGUGGCGAACGGGUGAGUAACACGUGGGCAACCUGCCCCGGAGACUGGGAUAACGUCCCGAAAGGGACGCUAAUACCGGAUGACGCGCGAUCUGCCAAGUAGGUCGCGCCAAAUGGUAGCUUCGGCUUCUGCUCUGGGAUGGGCCCGCGCCGGAUUAGCUUGUUGGUGGGGUAAUGGCUCACCAAGGCGACGAUCCGUAGCUGGUCUGAGAGGACGAUCAGCCACACUGGGACUGAGACACGGCCCAGACUCCUACGGGAGGCAGCAGUAGGGAAUAUUGGACAAUGGGGGCAACCCUGAUCCAGCAAUGCCGCGUGAGUGAUGAAGGCCUUAGGGUUGUAAAGCUCUGUCCUUGGGGAAGAAGGCGAAAGCUUGACGGUACCCAAGAAGAAAGCCCCGGCAAACUACGUGCCAGCAGCCGCGGUAAACUACUCGUA